Transfer RNA from Aureobasidium pullulans, 83 nucleotides. It matches the Rfam family "tRNA". Rfam says of the family: Transfer RNA (tRNA) molecules are approximately 80 nucleotides in length. Their secondary structure includes four short double-helical elements and three loops (D, anti-codon, and T loops). Further hydrogen bonds mediate the characteristic L-shaped molecular structure. tRNAs have two regions of fundamental functional importance: the anti-codon, which is responsible for specific mRNA codon recognition, and the 3' end, to which the tRNAs corresponding amino acid is attached (by aminoacyl-tRNA synthetases). tRNAs cope with the degeneracy of the genetic code in two manners: having more than one tRNA (with a specific anti-codon) for a particular amino acid; and 'wobble' base-pairing, i.e. permitting non-standard base-pairing at the 3rd anti-codon position. The record is from Rfam. Lineage: Eukaryota; Fungi; Ascomycota; Dothideomycetes; Dothideales; Saccotheciaceae.
GCUGCUGUAGCUCAGUGGUAGAGCGUGGGAUUGCAGUUUCUGCAAUUAUCCUAAGGUCCGUUGUUCGACCCAGCGUAGCAGCU